UACGUAGGGUGCAAGCGUUACUCGGAAUUACUGGGCGUAAAGCGUGCGCAGGCGGUUAUGCAAGACAGAUGUGAAAUCCCCGGGCUCAACCUGGGAACUGCAUUUGUGACUGCAUGGCUAGAGUACGGCAGAGGGGGAUGGAAUUCCACGUGUAGCAGUGAAAUGCGUAGAUAUGUGGAGGAACACCGAUGGCGAAGGCAAUCCCCUGGGCCUGUACUGACGCUCAUGCACGAAAGCGUGGGGAGCAAACAGG
This 253-nucleotide ribosomal RNA is filed under the name uncultured bacterium. RNAcentral describes it as "partial 16S ribosomal RNA". It matches the Rfam family "Bacterial small subunit ribosomal RNA", at positions 524 to 776 of the family's 1533-position model. The record is from RNAcentral.